AUGUCCAAUUUAGAAAAAAUAUCUCUCACACAAGGACAGCUUUUGAGUCCAGAUGAUAGCACAAAGUAUAGGAGUCUAGUGGGUGCACUCCAAUAUCUCACACUUACUAGACCUGAUAUUUCAUUUGCUGUCAACAAAGUCUGUCAGUUUCUCCAUGCACCUACCUCAGUUCACUGGACUGCUGCUAAACGUAUUGUUCGCUAUGUCAAGAAUACUGCCAAUGUUGGUCUGAAUUUCAGCAAGUCAUCCUCUACACUUGUAAGUGCUUUUUCAGACUCUGACUGGACAGGUUGCCUUGAUGACAGAAGGUCCAUUGGUGGCUUUGCAAUUUUCUUUGGCCCAAACUUAAUAUCCUGGUGUGCAAGAAAACAAGCCACUGUUUCCAGGUCCAGUACAGAGGCAGAGUAUAAGGCACUAGCCAAUGCCACAGCUGAGAUCAUAUGGGUACAAUCCAUGUUAAAAGAACUUGGUGUUAGGAGCAGUCAAGUUCCUUGUUUAUGGUGUGAUAACUUGGGUGCUACAUAUUUGUCUGCCAAUCCAGUGUUUCAUGCCAGGACAAAGCAUAUUGAGAUAGACUUUCACUUUGUGAGAGAAAGGGUUGCCAAGAAGCAACUUCAGAUUCGGUUUGUGCACUCCAGAGAUCAAAUUGCAGAUGGAUUCACAAAACCGUUACCUACAAGAAGCUUUGAAGAUUUUAAACAUAAUCUCAACUUGAUGAAGUUGUGA
Molecule: ribosomal RNA, 726 nt
Filed under: Triticum aestivum (bread wheat)
Lineage: Eukaryota; Viridiplantae; Streptophyta; Magnoliopsida; Poales; Poaceae
Description: partial small subunit ribosomal RNA
Source: RNAcentral